AGGACGAACGCUGGCGGCGUGCUUAACACAUGCAAGUCGAGCGGUAAGGCCCUUUCGGGGGUACACGAGCGGCGAACGGGUGAGUAACACGUGAGCAAUCUGCCCUUCACUUCGGGAUAAGCCUCGGAAACGGGGUCUAAUACCGGAUAUGACCGCGCUACGCAUGUGGUGUGGUGGAAAGUUCUGGCGGUGGAGGAUGAGCUCGCGGCCUAUCAGCUUGUUGGUGGGGUAAUGGCCUACCAAGGCUUCGACGGGUAGCCGGCCUGAGAGGGUGACCGGCCACACUGGGACUGAGACACGGCCCAGACUCCUACGGGAGGCAGCAGUGGGGAAUAUGGACAAGUGGGCGAAAGCCUGAUCCAGCAACGCCGCGUGAGGGAUGACGGCCGUUCGGGUUGUAAACCUCUUCAGCGCCGACGAGCGAGAGUGACGGUAGCGACAGAAGAAGCACCGGACCAACGUACGUCGCCAGCAGCCGAC
RNAcentral lists this ribosomal RNA (480 nucleotides) under uncultured soil bacterium. RNAcentral describes it as "bacterial SSU rRNA". It matches the Rfam family "Bacterial small subunit ribosomal RNA", at positions 26 to 518 of the family's 1533-position model. The record is from RNAcentral.